GGUGGCUCAGUGGUAGAGUGCUUGCCUUGUAUACAUGAGACCCUGGGUUUGAUUCCCCAGUACCA
RNAcentral lists this transfer RNA (65 nucleotides) under Dipodomys ordii (Ord's kangaroo rat). It matches the Rfam family "tRNA". Rfam says of the family: Transfer RNA (tRNA) molecules are approximately 80 nucleotides in length. Their secondary structure includes four short double-helical elements and three loops (D, anti-codon, and T loops). The record is from Rfam by way of RNAcentral. Lineage: Eukaryota; Metazoa; Chordata; Mammalia; Rodentia; Heteromyidae.